GUUUGUUUUAUAUCUCAACAACAGACAACUACAUUAAAAUGUUUAAAUCUUUGUUGAUUUUUGCUCUUUUGGCAGUUGCUUUCGUAGCAGCUAAACCUGAUCCAUCUCCAAUUGUGUACUCAUCUUACUCAUCAGCUGCGUAUCCGUAUGCGUAUUCUGCCCCAUAUGCCGGAUACUCUUUCGCAGGUUUUCCAUCCUUGGGCUACGGUGCUGGACUCUACGGAUAUUAUUAAAUCAGCAUAAAGUUACCAAUGAGAUUGUAUUAAAAUAUUUACUAUAAAGUUGAUUUCUAUUGGAUAGGAAUAAAGUGUAUUUGUAAUAUAAA
Long non-coding RNA from Aethina tumida (small hive beetle), 325 nucleotides. RefSeq lists it as uncharacterized. The record is from RefSeq and is a predicted model, not a curated record. The transcript is spliced from 2 exons. NCBI's taxonomy places the organism in Eukaryota, Metazoa, Arthropoda, Insecta, Coleoptera, Nitidulidae.